CCAGGUGCAAGAUUUAUGAAGUGCUUAUGAGGUUAAUCGGGAACAGACUCAGAGGAAAAAGGAAAGAAGUCAAAAAACAAACACCUUUAUUCUCACUUUAACAAAAUCUAAAGAAGAAUGAGAGGGUUUUUUUUUUGUUGUUUUUUUUUUUUUUUUUUGGUCAAAAUAAUACCUUAGAUGACUUUUGCAUGGACAAAGGGAGUAUUUUAAGCACUCGAUGCUCAUAUGCUGGUUCCCUUUUACGUGCAAACAGUGACCACACAUCCAGAAGGUCAAGUAGCCCAUGAUUGGGGAAUCAUCUAAAAAUACUUAUGCGCUUCUUGGACCAUUCAGUAUGCAGACCUUUCGGACAUGUUUCUUCCUAACCCUCACUCUGCUGCUAUUUCCCGGAAGAUGGGUGGAUGAUGAUAGUCAUUAAGUGAUGUCACCAGCGCGGGGCGUCUCUCAAGGCUCUGGAAAGAACACAAGUGCAAGCUGGAGGCUAAAGGAGGAGCAGGGAGGCCAGGCCAUCCUUUCAGCGGGAAGAGUGAGUACAAACACACCCAGGGCUGGUCAGCCAACUUCUUCCUUGUCAUGUUCCAAUCCCUUUCGGCUCAUCCCGGCUCGGGGGACGCAGAAUCACCGAACAAGAAGCGGUCGGCUUUCCCUUUCUGAUUGAAAAGUCAUUUUUGAAGCAUUUCAUUAAGAAAUGGUAGAGGAAACCUCAACCCUCAUGAAACAGGACAGCAAGCGCUUAAGACCUUCUCAUCAUGAGAAACGCUGCGGCCAGAGUCACUCAGAUGUAAACUUAAAGGUCAGUUCUUCACCAAGGAGGCUCUGUAACAGUUUGGAAAAACGUGACCGUGACGCUGCCCGAAGCCAGCUCGGGAUCCUCGCUCUCGGCUUCAGGAGGAGAGACGAAAGCACGGAGGGGAGGGCCCCUGCAUCAUGGCGAAGGGACUUGGCGUUAGGAUCAUGUGGUUCCAGAAGCCAUGCCGUCACCCCUGACCUCUUCCUGCCUCCCCGAUGCCAUCACUAGAGUAUCUAGAAUUAACCAAGCACCUGUUGGCCCAGCAC
This 1056-nucleotide long non-coding RNA is filed under the name Felis catus (domestic cat). RNAcentral's name for it is "lncRNA (ENSFCAG00000049593.1)". Lineage: Eukaryota; Metazoa; Chordata; Mammalia; Carnivora; Felidae. The record is from RNAcentral.